UACGUAGGGGGCAAGCGUUGUUCGGAAUUACUGGGUGUAAAGGGUUCGUAGGCGGUGCGGCAAGUCGGGCGUGAAAUCUCUGGGCUUAACCCAGAGGCUGCGUCCGAAACUGCUGUGCUUGAGUGUGGGAGAGGCGCGUGGAAUUGCAGGUGUAGCGGUGAAAUGCGUAGAUAUCUGCAGGAACACCCGUGGCGAAAGCGGCGCGCUGGACCACUACUGACGCUGAGGAACGAAAGCUAGGGGAGCAAACAGG
Molecule: ribosomal RNA, 253 nt
Filed under: uncultured bacterium
Lineage: Bacteria
Description: partial 16S ribosomal RNA
Rfam family: Bacterial small subunit ribosomal RNA
Source: RNAcentral